AUAAAUAAAAUGUGAUGUUUCCCGUACAUAACACAUCCUACACUGUAAACCCUAAUGUUGUAUGUACUUAAACAAUCAAGUGAUGUUGACUAAACAUUAAUUAAAAUUUUCCAUUUUGGUCCUGACAUUUAAAAAUAUGAGUUGAUUUAACUUUAUGUACCUUCAAAAUGCUUAAACUUACAAUUUCAAGUCUUGUGAGCUCAAAAUCAUGAUUAAUCCUUUAAAAAUCCUUUUGGUCAUUUUUACUUAAAACAGUUCACUCCAUGCAAGCAGUUCUGUUCUACCUAGCAACAAGAAAACUAAUGCACCGAUUGGUGGAUUACAAAGUUGGUCCUUUUGGCCUCGUCUGCUCUGUUGCUGAGCUGACACUCACAGUUCAAGACGGAAUAUGUGCUAUGUUCGGUAACAUGAGACAAGGACAUGUGGAAAUUCAGCCCAAACAACCGAUGUCCGAACCCUUGUUCUUUGAGGACCGCCUAUCAUGCUCGGAGAUGAUGACUCUUCUUUCUUCAAGUCAUGUUAAGUAAGUACAUCUGUUCUUAAAAGGGAUAGUUCACCCAAAACUUUUUACUUUAAAAAGUUUUAAAUAUAUAUAUUUUUCUUACCAAACCCCAUUGAGUCACUUCAGAAGGUCUUUAACACACUCAUCUAUAUAUUGAAAGGCCUGAGUGUGAGUACAUUUUCAUUUUUGGGUGAAGCAUUACUUUAACAUACAAAGUGGCACCUUUUUUGUUUAAGUCUUCAAUAUAAUAAACGUCAUUUAUAAUGCAUACUUUCAAAACUGUAUACCAAAUUCUUUGCAGGAAGCAUCUAUAUUUACAUCAAUUCAAAUGUAUACAUGUUAAUAUAAUGUUGGUUUAGGGUUAGUGAUUAGCUAUUUUAAUAAACUUAAUGUGCAUUCUGAUAAGCAUGCAUUGAUGAUAAACCUUUGAUUCCUGAUCUUAUUCGAGGACACUGAUCUUCAGCCCCCCAACUCCUUGCAUUUGACGACUUCUAUUCUUCGAAGACAAUGUUCAGUGACAAUGUGCCGUGUUUGCACAAAGCUUAAAUGGUGAAAUGUAGUUUUUAUUAUGUGUAGCCUACAUGUUCAGUACAUUAACAAUUGUGAGGCGUAAAAGGUGUAAUUGGUGCACAGAGUUGUACAAUUGAUGCAAGUCCACCAGUUAAUGUUGGACAU
Long non-coding RNA from Triplophysa rosa, 1177 nucleotides. RefSeq lists it as uncharacterized. The record is from RefSeq and is a predicted model, not a curated record. NCBI's taxonomy places the organism in Eukaryota, Metazoa, Chordata, Actinopteri, Cypriniformes, Nemacheilidae. The transcript is spliced from 3 exons.